CAAUAGCGUAUAUUAAAGUUGUUGCAGUUAAAAAGCUCGUAGUUGGAUUUCGGGGUGGCCUGCCUGGUCCACCGCAAGGUGAGUACUGGUCAGCCGCCCUUCCUCUCGAAAGCCCCGACUGCUCUUCAUUGCAGUGGUCGGGUAGUUCGGGACGUUUACUUUGAAAAAAUUAGAGUGUUCAAGGCAGGCCGUCGCCUGAAUACAUUAGCAUGGAAUAAUGGAAGAGGACCUCGGUCCUAUUUUGUUGGUUUCUAGGGCCGAAGUAAUGAUUAAGAGGGACAGUUGGGGGCAUUCGUAUUCAAUUGUCAGAGGUGAAAUUCUUGGAUUUAUGAAAGACGAACUAGUGCGAAAGCAUUUGCCAAGGAUGUUUUCAUUAA
This 377-nucleotide ribosomal RNA is filed under the name uncultured eukaryote. RNAcentral's name for it is "partial 18S ribosomal RNA". It matches the Rfam family "Eukaryotic small subunit ribosomal RNA", at positions 592 to 976 of the family's 1831-position model. The record is from RNAcentral.